RNAcentral lists this long non-coding RNA (1247 nucleotides) under Apis mellifera (honey bee). Its description in RNAcentral is "uncharacterized LOC102654948, transcript variant X1". Lineage: Eukaryota; Metazoa; Arthropoda; Insecta; Hymenoptera; Apidae. The record is from RNAcentral.
AAAAAAAAAUAAGGAAAAAAUAUAUGCACAAUAUACAAAUGGGAAUUUAAAGAGCAGCUCGCUAACAACAAUCUCGUUACACAUGUGAGAAAACAGUUGACGUCAUUAUUACUUGUAAUAUAUAUCGCGUAUAUGAUAUACCUCGUUAAUACCGGAAGUAGAGGUCAUUGAUUCUUUAACAUUUUAGAUCUUGUGAUCAGUAACGACAAGUAAGAAAGUCAUGGAAACUCAUGGAGCGAGUAGGCAGCUAUUAAACGGGAAGAAAGGAUAAAUUAAAUAAUAGGCAGGCCACGAACGUGUACGUUUCGACUCAUCAGCCGUAAAUUGAUCCAGAUACCUCAAAUUUUGUCAUCUUCCUACACGGAUCGACUCAAUUGCACAUUAGGAACACAUGUGCAUUCCGCGAUGAUUAAUUAGGAUCGCCGCUGGUGGAAUUUCUGAUAACAUUAUUAUCAAUAACGUAACAUGAAACUGUCCCACUUUUUUUCUUUCUCUCAAAUCAUCAUGAAACGUAACGAGAUAGUUCUUCUUCUUCUUUUUUUUUUUUUUUUUUAAGAAAAAUAUUCGGUAUCAUUUUAAAAAUUUGAUUUAUGAAACAUGAAACACUGGUGGAAUUUCUAAUAACGUUCUUAUCAAGCGACAUAAAAUGAAACUGUAACGAGAGAUAAUUUUUUUUUUAAAGAGAAACAGAAAAUAUAUAUAUAUAUUGUAAUAAUGUAUUCGUUAAUAAGCUUGAUUUAAUAGAUCUUUUUAUAUCCAUUAUUUAUUGCUAUAUAUUGGAACACUGCUUGAAUUGUUGAUUUACUCUUCUCUUUAAAUUGAGAUCUGUCACUUCUUGAAUGAAUUCUUUCAUUUCAUUCUCACGGCAUUGUUUCGCAGGAUAAAGCGAUUCUUAGAGCUAGCGAGUAUCGAAUUCGAUAUUCCUAGGGCGACGAAAGAGGUCGGAAUCGGAGAUGCCGAUGGGUUGGAAGAAUAACGUCCGAGCACGUUGACACAUUGACGACGAUAAAAUUCCACACCGAAGACUUUUUUCGUAGAACAUGUGCGCCGCAUAAAAAAGUAACGUUGCAAGUUCAAGAGAAACAUAUCGCAGAAAAUACUGAUGACACAUUGUGAUAUAUAUAUAUAUAUCUAACAAUAUUAUAAAUUCUUGUAACAAGAUUUCAUCAAAUAUCGUUAUCCUUGACAAGGAUUUUAAAUAAACAAUGGUUAUUGUUAAUUAGAAUUAAAUUUGAUACUUGAGAAUU